RNAcentral lists this ribosomal RNA (460 nucleotides) under uncultured bacterium. RNAcentral describes it as "partial 16S ribosomal RNA". It matches the Rfam family "Bacterial small subunit ribosomal RNA", at positions 338 to 795 of the family's 1533-position model. The record is from RNAcentral.
CCUACGGGUGGCAGCAGUGAGGAAUAUUGUUCAAUGGCCGUCAGGCUGAACCAGCCAAUUCGCGUGAAGGAAGAAGGAUCUAUGGUUUGUAAACUUCUUUUAUAGGGGAAUAAAGGUAUCCACGUGUGGAUAUUUUCAUGUACCCUAUGAAUAAGCAUCGGCUAACUCCGUGCCAGCAGCCUCGGUAAUACGGAGGGUGCGAGCGUUAUCCGGAUUUCUUGGGUGUAAAGGGUGCGUAGGUUGUGUUUUAAGUCAGCGAUGAAAGGUUGUGGCGCAACAAUAAAAUUGCCGUUGAAACUGGAAGACUUGAGUGUGUUUGAGGUAGGCGGAAUGCGUGGUGUAGCGGUGAAAUGCAUAGAUAUCACGCAGAACUCCGAUUGCGAAGGCAGCUUACUAAGCCAUAACUGACACUGAAGCACGAAAGCGUGGGGAUCAAACAGGAUUAGAUACCCCUGUAGUC